GUGAUAAAUAAAGGCAUUAAUUCUCAAGAGUUAUCUACAGAACAGAUACAGCCUGAGCAGUGGCCAUGCAAGCUCUCUCCACACUGCCCUGCUAAUUUGCCUCAAAAGCCUGGGCUAGAAAGCCCACCGUUUAAGGGAGAUUGUAAUUUAAUUUCCAUGGACCAUUCAAUCCUUGGCUUUU
RNAcentral lists this small RNA (181 nucleotides) under Chrysemys picta bellii (western painted turtle). RNAcentral describes it as "TUC338 (ENSCPBG00000022104.1)". Lineage: Eukaryota; Metazoa; Chordata; Testudines; Emydidae. The record is from RNAcentral.